AAAUUGAAGAGUUUGAUCAUGGCUCAGAUUGAACGCUGGCGGCAGGCCUAACACAUGCAAGUCGAGCGGAAACGAGUUAUCUGAACCUUCGGGGAACGAUAACGGCGUCGAGCGGCGGACGGGUGAGUAAUGCCUAGGAAAUUGCCCUGAUGUGGGGGAUAACCAUUGGAAACGAUGGCUAAUACCGCAUGAUGCCUACGGGCCAAAGAGGGGGACCUUCGGGCCUCUCGCGUCAGGAUAUGCCUAGGUGGGAUUAGCUAGUUGGUGAGGUAAGGGCUCACCAAGGCGACGAUCCCUAGCUGGUCUGAGAGGAUGAUCAGCCACACUGGAACUGAGACACGGUCCAGACUCCUACGGGAGGCAGCAGUGGGGAAUAUUGCACAAUGGGCGCAAGCCUGAUGCAGCCAUGCCGCGUGUGUGAAGAAGGCCUUCGGGUUGUAAAGCACUUUCAGUCGUGAGGAAGGUAGUGUAGUUAAUAGCUGCAUUAUUUGACGUUAGCGACAGAAGAAGCACCGGCUAACUCCGUGCCAGCAGCCGCGGUAAUACGGAGGGUGCGAGCGUUAAUCGGAAUUACUGGGCGUAAAGCGCAUGCAGGUGGUUUGUUAAGUCAGAUGUGAAAGCCCGGGGCUCAACCUCGGAAUAGCAUUUGAAACUGGCAGACUAGAGUACUGUAGAGGGGGGUAGAAUUUCAGGUGUAGCGGUGAAAUGCGUAGAGAUCUGAAGGAAUACCGGUGGCGAAGGCGGCCCCCUGGACAGAUACUGACACUCAGAUGCGAAAGCGUGGGGAGCAAACAGGAUUAGAUACCCUGGUAGUCCACGCCGUAAACGAUGUCUACUUGGAGGUUGUGGCCUUGAGCCGUGGCUUUCGGAGCUAACGCGUUAAGUAGACCGCCUGGGGAGUACGGUCGCAAGAUUAAAACUCAAAUGAAUUGACGGGGGCCCGCACAAGCGGUGGAGCAUGUGGUUUAAUUCGAUGCAACGCGAAGAACCUUACCUACUCUUGACAUCCAGAGAACUUUCCAGAGAUGGAUUGGUGCCUUCGGGAACUCUGAGACAGGUGCUGCAUGGCUGUCGUCAGCUCGUGUUGUGAAAUGUUGGGUUAAGUCCCGCAACGAGCGCAACCCUUAUCCUUGUUUGCCAGCGAGUAAUGUCGGGAACUCCAGGGAGACUGCCGGUGAUAAACCGGAGGAAGGUGGGGACGACGUCAAGUCAUCAUGGCCCUUACGAGUAGGGCUACACACGUGCUACAAUGGCGCAUACAGAGGGCUGCCAACUUGCGAAAGUGAGCGAAUCCCAAAAAGUGCGUCGUAGUCCGGAUUGGAGUCUGCAACUCGACUCCAUGAAGUCGGAAUCGCUAGUAAUCGUGGAUCAGAAUGCCACGGUGAAUACGUUCCCGGGCCUUGUACACACCGCCCGUCACACCAUGGGAGUGGGCUGCAAAAGAAGUAGGUAGUUUAACCUUCGGGGGGACGCUUACCACUUUGUGGUUCAUGACUGGGGUGAAGUCGUAACAAGGUAGCGCUAGGGGAACCUGGCGCUGGAUCACCUCCUUA
This 1553-nucleotide ribosomal RNA is filed under the name Vibrio alginolyticus. RNAcentral's name for it is "bacterial SSU rRNA". It matches the Rfam family "Bacterial small subunit ribosomal RNA". Lineage: Bacteria; Pseudomonadati; Pseudomonadota; Gammaproteobacteria; Vibrionales; Vibrionaceae. The record is from RNAcentral.